AUGACAGUGCUAAGCUGGAACUGUCAGGGCCUCGGGCAACCCCGGACAGUUCAGGAGCUAGUGUGCCUAGUGCAUACCCAUAAGCCUAAGAUCAUCUUCAUCACUGAAACUAGACGGUGCGAGAAUAAAGUUAGGGGCAUAAAAUUGAGAUUAGGAUUAAAGCAUUGCCUCACCCAUGAUGGUAAAGGCAAAGGGGCUAGAAUAGCACUGUAUUAG
Molecule: ribosomal RNA, 216 nt
Filed under: Triticum aestivum (bread wheat)
Lineage: Eukaryota; Viridiplantae; Streptophyta; Magnoliopsida; Poales; Poaceae
Description: partial small subunit ribosomal RNA
Source: RNAcentral